AAAGUGCGAUAAGCACUGUGAAUUGCAGAAUUUAGCGAAUCAGCAGAUCUCUUAACGCAAAUGGUGUCAGGUAAACUUGUUUGCUUGACAGUCAUGCUUCAGUAUUGCACUUUAUGCACUAAACACGCAUUUUUGCUGCCUCGAUUCGUCGUUGGCAGUGCUUGGUUCGCUAAGUCAAACUGGCGAAUGGGAAUAGCUCGACGUUAAUAACUUGUUUACUAAAUGUCAGAGUAACUGCUAAUCAAUCUGAAGUAUGUCAGACUACCCGCUGAACUUAA
This 278-nucleotide unclassified non-coding RNA is filed under the name uncultured fungus. Its description in RNAcentral is "sequence contains ITS1". The stretch from base 1 to 107 matches the Rfam family "5.8S ribosomal RNA", at positions 50 to 154 of the family's 154-position model. Lineage: Eukaryota; Fungi. The record is from RNAcentral.